This 592-nucleotide unclassified non-coding RNA is filed under the name Salicornia persica. RNAcentral's name for it is "partial contains external transcribed spacer and small subunit ribosomal RNA". The stretch from base 538 to 592 matches the Rfam family "Eukaryotic small subunit ribosomal RNA", at positions 1 to 55 of the family's 1831-position model. The record is from RNAcentral. Lineage: Eukaryota; Viridiplantae; Streptophyta; Magnoliopsida; Caryophyllales; Amaranthaceae.
GCCAAGCGGUGCUGAUUAGGGGUUGUUUUUACUCUCCCUUGCAAUUAUUUUGUACUUGUAGGGGUGCAUGUAGGCACGGUCCUUGUGAUGCGGUACGUGAUGGUGUGUGAGUGGUAUUUGGUUUGUGUGGUUGGCGGGCUCUUUGCUUGUGCAUUGGACCGUUCACCAACAUACCUUUUCAUUGUAUGCUGCAAGUGCACCAUUUUGCCUUGGGCGACGUGUGGUCCCUAUGUUGGAUUCCGAUUAACGGUAUUGUUGUUGUCCCUUUAAAGAGUGAUAUUCGCUCUACGUCCGUAAAAGGAGGUCGAGCGGACCAUGAAACUUGACUCGUUAUCCUCCUGUUUUGUGAAAACAAGCAUGAUAGGGUUGGAUUAUGAUCUCAAGUUGGGCCCUAGGAUACAGAAAGUUGUGUGGGAGUUGAUGUAAAAACGUCGCAAACCCAAAGCGUUGGUACGCUAAUGAUGGAUGACAUUCGAGUGUGUUGUGAUUCUUUCAUUCUAGAAAGGUUCAUGCUCGCCGAUGUCGACCAAGGAGUGCUACCUGGUUGAUCCUGCCAGUAGUCAUAUGCUUGUCUCAAAGAUUAAGCCAUGCA